Molecule: unclassified non-coding RNA, 294 nt
Filed under: Hevea brasiliensis (rubber tree)
Lineage: Eukaryota; Viridiplantae; Streptophyta; Magnoliopsida; Malpighiales; Euphorbiaceae
Source: RNAcentral
CUGUGAAGAUUCAAUCCUUUUAAGAGUGCAUUAUGAGCCUUCUGAUCUCUUAAUAGCAGAGGAAUAUGCCAGAUAUUUGGCACAUCAUAGAGAGUGAUUAUAUUAUCUGCCGGCACAUGACAAAAUUGAGCAAGUUUUUCCUUAACAUUUUGAUCGAGUUCCUUUGUACUGCGGCAAGCUAAAAUAUUUGGUACCAAUCCCAGGCCUCUUAGACCUCGAACACUAUGUUGAGUAGGCUUAGUUUUUUGUUCACCAACCACAUUGAGGACCGGAACAAGGCUAACAUGAACCAGG